This 253-nucleotide ribosomal RNA is filed under the name uncultured bacterium. Its description in RNAcentral is "partial 16S ribosomal RNA". It matches the Rfam family "Bacterial small subunit ribosomal RNA", at positions 524 to 776 of the family's 1533-position model. The record is from RNAcentral.
UACGAAGGGGGCUAGCGUUGCUCGGAAUCACUGGGCGUAAAGGGUGCGUAGGCGGGUCUUUAAGUCAGGGGUGAAAUCCUGGAGCUCAACUCCAGAACUGCCUUUGAUAUUGAGGAUCUUGAGUUCGGGAGAGGUGAGUGGAACUGCGAGUGUAGAGGUGAAAUUCGUAGAUAUUCGCAAGAACACCAGUGGCGAAGGCGGCUCACUGGCCCGAUACUGACGCUGAGGCACGAAAGCGUGGGGAGCAAACAGG